AGUGUGAAAAAGGCGUGGGAGAAAUAAAGAACGCAUGUGGAACUUACAUCGAUAUGUUUGUUUCCUCCUCCAUUUCGACGUUGCACUUCCUGAAAAAGUUGUCCGGAGUGAGCAUCAAUGCAGACUCGCUAUUUAAGGGCUGAACAGUCCACUCUCCCUCCGCACUACGCGGUUUGGGACGGCCCUUAAUAUGGAGGACCCUCCACGGGAACGCGCAAACGGAGGGGUAGUGUGUAGGGGGCGGUUUGGGAUUCAGCCUUCAUGUCUCAAGACGGAGUCGGCGGCGUCGUCACUUGGCGGCCAUCUUGGGACAGGGGACUGCUCUGUCGCGCUGUACUGUAGUCAAUGGUAAGGUGGAUGAUUUCCUCACUUUAACACUCAUAACUCGCUCAAUUCUUGAUUGAUUUACGAACGGUUUAGUUUAUUACAAACCUUAUUAACGUGGCUAUGAUUCAGGCUCAAUUCUGAAAUCGUAGCUUUUCGUUUUGAAAAAUGCGGCAUAGUUGUGUGUCUUUUCUGCCUGGCUACUCACAUUGAAGAUGGUGUUACUCACAAUCUGAUUUUCAAUUAUUAGGUUUUCCUGAGACCAACGUUUUUUGAGAACCUAAUCUUUAGGUGAAAUUACAUUCUUUGUGGUUGUGGUUGUAUUUAUUUGCUUGUUAAGAGACUUUGAUUGAGACCUUAGACUUAUUGUUUGUAUACAUCUAUGCCUGGAUUAGUUAGCCUGCAGCCGAAAUGCAUUGUGGGUAAUGUAGGCACCAGGUUCAUGAAAAGAAAAGACAACAUCUCUGUUUGUUGUGCUUUGAUUUUGGUUGAGCUUUGUUUUUAUCUGUGCAUUAGAAAGCUGAUAGUAAUAAAGAAGUGCAAUGCUAAAUAAUAAAAUUACAUUUACAUCCAUUUACGCUGAAAAAAGAUGUGUUCAUUUUUUAUUUUUUUGCAGUGGCAGCCUGAAGUUUAGAGAAGUGGAAGGUCCUCACUGCAGUCCUCAAACCAGCAGGAUAAAAUUGUGAAGAUUACAAUAUAAGUAUAAACCAUAAAUUAAGAAUAGUAAGGCACUAAAUAACCUUUGACUAAAAAGACAGCGAGCAGACAAUUUUCAUGCCCGAGAUUUAGAAAUAAAUUCAAAAGCUUAACAUGAUACUGUGCAGCUAGUUAGAGAUAUUGGUCAUCAACCUUUAAUCUUGUUUUUUUUAAGAAGGCGAGAUUAACUUAAAAAUUGCCCACUCCAUUGUUGUAACUUCAGUUGGUUAUGGGACACUGCAAAAAUCCUGGAAAAUGAUUUAUUGAAAAGAGUGGGAACCUUAUUAUUUUUCUUUCUUUAUUUUUUAUUUUUUUGUUCAAAUGUCAUUAUUUUUUCAUUUUAGCAUUACUUUUUUGUUAUUUGUUCAUCAUUUAUUUAUUUUGUCUAUUUGAAUAUUGUAAAUAUUAAAGAUUGACAGUAUGUCUGUGUGUGUAUAGCUAUUUCUUUAUUGCCUAUCUACUUAAUAUAAUUUUUAUAUGAAUUCAAUGGUUUUAAUUAUUCUUAAGUAAGCAGUAAAAGAAGUACAUCUCUGACGUUUAUAACAAACCAAGCUGUUCUAAAAUCGGCUGAAAAUUGAGCAAUCUACAGUGAUUUUAAAAUCCAUGCUCCAUUGACCCUGUCCCAAGAUGGCCGCCAUGUGGCGACGUUGCUCCCCAUAGGCUGACAGCGCUCAUGAGACAUCGAGGCUGAAUCCCAAACCGCCCCCUACACACUAUCCCUACACACUACCCCUCCGUUUGCGCGUUCCUGUGGAGGGUCCUCCAUAUUAAGGGCCGUCCCAAACCGCGUAGUGCGGAGGGAGAGUGGACUGUUCAGCCCUUAAAUAGCGAGUCUGCAUUGAUGCUCACUCCGGACAACUUUUUCAGGAAGUGCAACGUCGAAAUGGAGGAGGAAACAAACAUAUCGAUGUAAGUUCCACAUGCGUUCUUUAUUUCUCCCACGCCUUUUUCACACUGACAGAGCAUCACAAAGAGUGGUGUAAAAAGAUAAAACAAAAGAAACAAAUCUUCUCUGCUGAUGUUUGAUUUAAUUGUGCACCCCCUGACACCUUAAAAUUUGAACACAACUGACAUAAUUCAUUUAUUCAUUUGUUGGAUCUGAAAUUCCAGAUAAUAGGAUUGGAAAAAAUGUGAGUGAAAAAAGUGGGAUGCUUUCGUCUUCUGGAAGCAGCAGCGAUCCUUGUCAGUUGCAACCUGUGCCACAGCGCUACAGCCAUGCACAGUAGGCGUCUUUCUGUUACCAUGGCGAUGACAUCUUCCGUUUUUCGGUGAGGCAACAGGGCAUCCCAUUCCUGCCGAUCGUAUUUGUACCCUCCCCCUUCAGUAAUAGGUGCCCUCCACAGCUGCGAGUGUGACUUCUUUUGGAGUGACACUCGGUAGUGGAGGGGGAGUGUGUAGGGGGCGGUUUGGGAUUCAGCCCUAGUGUUUGUAUAUAUCUAUGAUGCUCACUCUGGACAACUUUUUCAGGAAGUGCAACGUCGAAAUGGAGGAGGAAACAACAUAUUGAUGUGAGUUCCACGUGUGUCCUUUAUUUCUCCCACGCCUUUUUCACACUGACAGAACAUCACAAAAAGAGUGAUGUAAAAAGAUAAAUCAAAAGAAACAAAUCUUCUUCUCUGCUGACGUUUGAUUUAAUUGUGCACCCCCUGACACCUUAAAAUUUGAACACAACUGACAGAAUUCAUUUAUUCAUUUGUUGGAUUUGAAAUUCCAGAUAAUAGGAUUGGAAAACAUGUGAGUGAAAAAAAGUGGGAUGCUUUUGUCUUCUGGAAGCAGCAGCGAUCCUUGUUAGUUGCAACCUGUGCCACAGCGGUACAGCCAUGCACAGUAGGCAUCUUUGUGUUACCAUGGCAAUGACGUCUUCCGUUUUCCAGUGAGGUGACAGGGCGCCCCAUUCCUGACGAUCGUAUUUAUACCCUCCCCCUUCAAUAAUAGGUGCCCUCCACAGCAUUUUUUUCCCCCAUAUUUAUUUAUUACAAAGAAUAACAACAGCAGUUAUUAAAAUUUACAAACAUACAGACAACACAACAGCCAGGGGGGAAGGCUGCUAAAUAAACACAGAAAAUAAAGAGCACAAAUGAUAGGUCUUCAUAGCUUUCUUAUUAUUAGAGUCACAUAUACUUUCCAAGUACUUUUCUGUUUCCUUUUGAAAUCCAAAAAAAACAGGGAUUCGAAUGGCUAAACUUGGCUUUGUGUAUAUGAUAUUUACCCAAUAUAAUUAUUAGAUUUAUGACACCGUUCUUUUUGUUUUUUUACUUCUAACAUCAUGAACACCAAAGAGCACAUUGUCCCAUUUUAAAAGAAAGUCUUUGUCAAUUUUCAGAGUAAUAUAAUGCAGUACCUCUUUCCAAAAGGUGGCAGUAUAAUGACAGUCCCAAAACAGGUGCAUCAAAGUUUCAGGCUCACAACCACAUAAGGAACAGUCCACACACACAUCUCUCCCAAACCUCAACAAGUAGCGUUUGGUAGGAUAGUAUUUAUGAAUUAUUUUGUAAGAUAUUUCUCUAACUUUAUUUGUAAUUAAAUAUUUGUAUGGAAGAUUCCAUAUAUGGACCCAGUUUAACCCAUUGAAAAUAUUGGACCAGUACUGAACAACACAUGUGGUAGUCGUAAAAUCUGUUUGAAAUAAAGAGGUGCCCUCCACAGCUGCGAGUGUGACUUCUUUUGGAGUGACACUCGGUAGUGGAGGGGGAGUGUGUAGGGGGCGGUUUGGGAUUCAGCCUUUAUAUCUAUGAUUGUCGCUACCCAAUCCGUCCCGGAAACCUGAUUUGUACUGUGCAUGUGCGCAAAGUACGUCACUUCCGCUACUCCCGAAAAAAAAAAUAGAAUUUUCUGUCAAUAGACCCUGUGCACGAUAGCAUGUGCUAGUUCCGGUUGAAAAACUCCGGGUGCUACAGUUACUUCCGGUCCUGCUUACAGCGCUGUCAAAAUGGAAGAAGCCAGCAGUACACUUUACUUUUCCAGAUGCCUAGGCAACUUGCCUAAAAUUUCUGUUGACGAUGUUUAUCGUCUCGAUGAUGAUUUUGGGUCAGCUCCUUAAAGCAAACGGGAAAAGGGAUUCAAAUUUUAUAUAUCCCAGUACAUAUAUAACUUUGAAGGUAAGUGGCAUCGCAUCCUACAUAACUAGCGCUAGCUUAACUGUAGGGCUUGCCAAACAUGUACCUUAUCAUUUUAUUUUCCAGUAUUUAUACAUUACUAUUUUUUUGCUUCGUUAGCUACUAGAAUCCACUUUACACUUUAGUCUUUGAUACUUAGCCCGUUGCGCUUCAGUUGCGCUUCAGUGUCCCAUCUGCGGUACACUUUGAGAUCUGCAUAAGCAAGUUGCUAAAUGUCUGAAACUGCAAACGCGAUUAUACAAACACUAUACGCCGAUGGAAGGCUUAGAUUCUCAUGAAUCCGCCGGUAUAAACCACUUUCAGAUGUGAUUACCACAGCGGGUAAUAUAAACACAUUUGUCCGACAAACAACGAAUAUCCAUCCAUCCAUUUUCUAUACACGACUUCAACGUACACAGCGUGACUCACAUUUCCGGGUUCAUUAUUACACACGGAUGAAAAUAUUCCACAAAAAACGGCCAUAAUCCAACCUUGGACAUCCAGACGAAACAAGCCAGUAACAUAUUUUGUCCAAAACAUGUCUUGAAGUCGGUAUAUACUCCACGAAUAGGUCGUUUUCAAGGAAAUGCACCUCGCGAUGCGCGUCUAAUAUUCCCUGUAUUUCUCGUCAUAUUUUUAUUUACAAAUAGAAUAUUAGCGAUUUUUUUGUACUGAAAGUGGCUGGAAUUGACUGCAGCUUAAAGGGUUAGUCGAGUUCAGCGAGACAUUUUAUAUUUGUAGUUUUGUUUGAACAAAAUGACAAAUGCUUGGAUUUCCUCUAUAUUUGAUUAGAUGUAAAAACGGAAUAACAAAUGAUUGAAGAGUGCACGGAUUGUUGUUAUAGUUUAUCAGAUAUUUGCUGUUUGAUCAGUGACUAUGCACUUAUAUUCCCGAUCCUCAGCUCAGUGUGAAACAUUUUUUUUCGUCUAAUUUUGGCAAUCCACUGAGCCCGCAAAUGCCGGUCUUUUGGAAAACGGUGAAGGCUUAUAGAACUGUUAUAAACACCAAAAGCCAAACAUAAUGGUACACUACAGUACCUCCCAUAUCGACCUUGAACACGCUGAAAUCUGAUUUUUUGUUUUGCUGAGAAAACAGUGUUUUUCUUUUUUGAUUCCAUGUUAUCCAUCAUAGAUAUAUACAUCAUAUAUCUAUCCAUAUAUCUAUGUUAUCCAUGCUGCGAAAUAGCCUCCGGAAGGACCUGUAAGCCCCUCCGGUCAGAACCCGGAAGUUAGCAUUUUUGACGUGCACAGGGUCUAUUACUUAAUGAUUCAAGAAUUAUAGCAUUAAGACAGUAGCAGGAACCUUUAGUAGUGAAACUGGGCAUAAUCCUCCUCACUCUAUGGCGAUCUGCUUCUGUCGGAGGAAGCACUCCGUUAAACUGCGGUCAAGUGAGCCGCCCGCACGCUGGGCGUUGCGCGGCUAUUUCGCGUAAUACGGCAGUGUUAUCACAGGCGCUGAGCACAUAGAUAUAGGCUAUGGGCCGAAGCCAAAAAACGUGUUAUUCAUUGAUCCCCGCCGCGUAAGGAAGAAUAUUUUUCACAGCAGACAGAUAAAAUUAUUCUAAGUAUAUUAGUAGUUGUUUCCAACUUCAGUUCGUGCACAUUAAUGAAAGAGAGCAGCCAAUAACUUUUAAUUUUGAGCAGGCAAACGAAGGGGGCUACUUACGUCAUCUCCAUGACAACCAGGAAGAAGCUGCGGCAAAAUAUGCUAACGCCGGCUUCGGAAAGACUUAAAAUAAACAGAAUACGUUUUUCCUCCGAAUGAGCUUACAAGCUAGACUACAUGGUCCUAAUUAUUAAUUCCCAACAGUGUUAUGGUAUACUUGCACGGUAAAAAUCAACGCUAUAGACCUUUUUCCGAAACGUCAUCAUCGAACGUCACCGCCGGUCACCGGCCCUAGCAACGCGAUUCCGCCAUUUUAAGAGGGGUAUGCUUUGCCUUGACGACCAUUACUUUCCCACGUUUCCCUCCCGAUUUGAACGACCAAAAGCAGAUAUGCCCAAAACCUGCGCUGUUUUUGGCUGUAGUUCUCAGUCAUGGAGCAACAAGAACAUUUCCUUUUACAGGAUUCCGACUGAAAAGGGCCAGAAAAGGACUUUAUGGCUCACAGCAUUGAGGCGGAUUAACAAUAAUGGUACCACAUGGAGCCCACAGUCAAAAUGGUCCUAUGUUUGCAGUCAGCAUUUCGUCAAUGGUCUAUUGUGUUUCAUGAAAUUAUUACCCCUUAACUGAUUUUCUGAAAUUAUUAAUUAAUAAGCUUAACCAGUUGUGCUUCAGUGUCCCGCCCGUGGUACACUUUGAAAUCUGCAUAAGCAAUUUGCUAAAUGUCUGAAACUGCAAACGCGAUUAUGCAAACACUAUACGCCAAUGGAAAGCUUAGAUUCUCAUGAAUCUGCCGAUAUAAACCACUUUCAGAUGUGAUUACCACAGCGGGUAAUAUAACCACAUUUGUCCGACAAACAACAGCGCGACUCACAUUUCCGGGUUCAUUAUUACACACAGAUGAAAAUAUUCCACAAAAAACGGCCAUAAUCCAACCUUGGACAUCCAGACGAAACAAGCCAGUAACAUAUUUUGUCCAAAACAUAUCUUGAAGUUGGUAUAUAAUCCAUGAAUAGGUCGUUUUCAAGGAAAUGCACCUCGCGAUGCACGUCCAAUAUUCCCUGUAUUUCUCGUCAUAUUUUUAUUUACAAAUAGAAUAUUAGCGAUUUUUUUUUUGUACUGAAAGUGGCUGGAAUUGACUGCAGCUUAUGAUGUCUAUAAUUAUCUGAAAUGUUGAGGGCUAGCUACUUAGCUUAGGCUAGUGCUAGCUGUGCUUCCCACAAAAAGUCAGGGGUCUUUCUACUCACACUGCUAUUUUUAAACCUUCUCUCCUCCCUUCCGUUCUGCUAACUACUAUGCUGUAAUCAGCAGCAUUGUCCUCAUUAUUGUUAGCACCUCAUACCCUUGGGCCUAGGGUGGGUAGAGCUCAUUUACAGGUAUCUGACUCUUAGUUUUGAUAAUGCACAUCUAACUAAUAUACAUACACUACUUACACUUGAAAUUAAAAGGUGUAAUGGCUCACCCCGUUAGCUUAACAUUAGCUUAGCAUAGCGGCGCUGGUGUAGCCGUAUCUUACACGGCAUUUAUCAUUCUGACAUUGACCUGUAUGCACAAAAAUGCAUAAAUAUAAGCAUACCUCAAAGAAAACGUAUGAGUCCAGGCUUUUAUAAGUCUUCAUCUUCUCCAUUGUGUGGAUACCUGGGCUGUUGAUAAGGUACUCGUAAAUGGAGUGCUAAUGAAGAUCUGGACAUGUAGUAGGGUCGUUUUCCCAUGAUCCCAGUGCAAUUUGGUACGGACAUGACUGCAAACCAACCAGUUCUAUUUUUUCUUUAUACCGUAGCUUGGCUUUUGGCUCAAGAUUUCCGAAAUAAUCACCAGACGUUUGUCUCCGGGUCAAAACCGCGUGGUUUCAGCGGUCAAAUCACGGUUGCUAAUGACUUUGUUGCCCCCUCUUAAAAUGGCGGCGUGCGUUGCUAAGGAAGGUAUGGUCACGUGUCCCAGACUCUGACGUCACUGCGAAAAGGUCUAUUGUUUUCUCCUGGCGUUAAAUAUCCAACGUUCUUUGACGUUCUUUGUCAUAUUUCACACUACAUUAUCUUUCCAAUUCAACACAGCUGCCACUAUUACAGUGUCAAAUGAACAAUAUUUAAAGCCGUUUUUAUUUAAAUACCAGAAUGUCCAAAUAAAACAUACAUUGUCUGUUAAAUUGUCUCUGUUAUUUAUAUGCCACAACAUUGAGGUGUAACUAUGGGCAUAAUUGAAUUACAAGAAUAAAACUAUGUACUAGAUUGUUUUGGCUAUUUUCAAUGAUGGAUAAGUCUCUUACCAUGGGCUGAAUCCUAAACCGCCCCCUACACACUAUCCCUCCGUUUGCGCGUUCCCGCGGAGGGUCCUCCAUAUUAAGGGCCGUCCCAAACUGCGUAGUGCGGAGGGGGAGUGGACUGUUCAGCCCUUAAAUAGCGAGUCUGCAUUGAUGCUCACUCUGGACAACUUUUUCAGGAAGUGCAACGUCGAAAUGGAGGAGGAAACAAACAUAUUGAUGUGAGUUCCACAUGCGUCCUUUAUUUCUCCUACGCCUUUUUCACACUGACAGAACAUCACAAAGAGUGGUGCAAAAAGAUAAAUCAAAAGAAAUAAAUCUUCUUCUCUGCUGACGUUUGAUUUAAUUGUGCACCCCCUGACACCUUAAAAUUUGAACACAACUGACAGAAUUCAUUUAUUCAUUUGUUGGAUUUGAAAUUCCAGAUAAUAGGAUUGGAAAACAUGUGAGUGAAAAAAGUGGGAUGCUUUCGUCUUCUGGAAGCAACAGCGAUCCUUGUUAGUUGCAACCUGUGCCAUAGUGCUACAGCCAUGCACAGUAGGCGUCUUUGUGUUACCAUGGCGAUGACAUCUUCCGUUUUUCCGGUGAGGCGACAGGGCAUCCCAUUCCUGACGAUCGUAUUUAUACCCUCCCCCUUCAAUAAUAGGUGCCCUCCACAGCUGCGAGUGUGACUUCUUUUGGAGUGACACUCGGUAGUGGAGGGGGAGUGUGUAGGGGGCGGUUUGGGAUUCAGCCAUGGUCUCUACUGCUGUGGUCCGUCCCUUGGUCUGUCCUCUCACUUGACCUCUGCACCAGAGGAUGAAGUGCUGCAUGCAUUUAGUCUGUGACACAAAGUCUGCAGUAACACCUUUUUCACAGAAAAGCUGGGAGAGAUAUGUCUAUUGUGCCAAACAAUGGGUUACCCUCAACACUGCAGAAACGCUGAUUGCUGAAAAAGCAUUUUCAGCAUUUAAUAUCAGCAAUGAAGAUGUCCCUGACGUGCCGAGCAAUGUGGGAUACCACAGAGAAUGCUACAGUGCCUUCACAAACAAAGACCACAUCUAAAGAGCAAACUGUAAGCAAGCCAAGUCAGCCCAAGAAAAUGAAGGUUUGUAUCAAAUCCAUUAUCUGCAAGUAUGAUGACCAAAUAUGUUACGAUGAGACAUACUAACUCAUUGCAAGCCACUACAGUUUUGACAACAUGACUUAGUUAUCCGUGAACAUACUAAAAAAAGUUAUGUUUCUCCAUCUGAGUGAAUGGAACAGCCGAAAUUGAAAAUUAAUCAGACAAGAUCACAGUGACGCAAUGAUCACAUUUGUUUUACAUGUACUUGAUUGCAGUGCACCACCACAGUAAAAUGAAACUCUCCACAACAUCAGAAUGCCAUUACAAUGCUCAGAAGAACCGCUGCCAGAUACCAGUGAUGGUGCUCCAUCCAAGGUUCGGGUUCUGCGCUCUUCAAGUGGCCCAGAACAACCCAAAAGGGCUCCACACCUCCUGCCUGUUGCAUGCCUGCUAUGCAAGGAGAACAGAUAUAUCAACAUCUGGCACAACAGAAAGAGGCAGAUCAACUCCUUCGUGCUGCUGAGGGGAAGAAGGAUGAACACCUGUUGCUUCAAAUCCGUGGAAGAGGCCAUCUAUCACCACAGUUGCUUCGCAAAUUACACAAGAUACCUGAGAGGAACAAAGAGAGAGGUUUCUGAAGAGGCAAAUCCGUAUCAGGCAGGCUACAGACAUUUCUGUUAGACAGUGGUGGAAGAGUGCCUACUGGCAAACCGUGAAGUGUUGAGGCUUUCACGGCUAAAUGACCUCUUUAAGGAAAUUUUUACAGAUAAGGAAGGACUGGACAUUUCGACUUCUAAAGCAUUUAGCUUAAAAUCAAGGCUUCCUAAGUCCCAUCCAUGUCUUAAAUUCCUUAAAGCAGCCAGAAAUGACUUUGUCUAUGUAGAGGACCUAACUGCUGAAGAGGUCAUCCAGGAUGAACCGGCACAGCCGUCAUCAGACAGCAGUGACUCAGAGGAGGAUGGCAUGGAACCCAGUCAUUUAGGCCAUCAACACAAGAAUGACCCUGCAAGCAUAGGUUGGUUUGACAUUUCUUAAUCUAUAGCGUCCUUGUAAUUAUAGUUAAGUUGAUGUUACACACCUUGCUUACCUGCAUUUCACCAUUCUACCUGGUUGUGUAGUGACAGUCUCUGACUUCUCCACAGACAGACACCUGUACCAUUCAGCCAUGCUGCUGAAAGAGAUCACAGAGACCAAGUGUAAAGUGACUCCAAAAAUGCCCUGGCCACCAACAUCACAAGACCUUAAGAUGGACACUGCCUCCAGUGUUGUCAGUGCAAAGCACUAAAAUGUGUGCAGGGGGAGAUGCACAUGCAAACAGCACCAGCUACCAUGCACAGACAUGUGUGCAUGUAUUUACUGCUCCAAUUCUGCAGGACAUGAAACAUAAGAGGAAAAAAAGAGAGCAAGCUUCAUGGGCAUGCUUAUGCCAAAUUUGUGGCUUUCAUAGCACUUUUUUGUAUAAAGUUCAUCUUGUUCAAGUUAAUUUUUUUCUGGUGUCAGUUCAUUUAAUGUCCAUAUGAUAACCUACGCUUGUAUAUCCUAGUCACUGAUGCACAACAACUGAAGCUCUAACAAAACUACAAACUUCAUCUCAAAAAAAUAGAAACUAAUUAAAUAUGUAUCAAUAGCAAAGCUGAUCAGAUCGGGAA
Molecule: long non-coding RNA, 10671 nt
Organism: Acanthochromis polyacanthus (spiny chromis)
Lineage: Eukaryota; Metazoa; Chordata; Actinopteri; Pomacentridae
Exons: 3
Source: RefSeq, a predicted model, not a curated record